Molecule: ribosomal RNA, 253 nt
Filed under: uncultured bacterium
Lineage: Bacteria
Description: partial 16S ribosomal RNA
Rfam family: Bacterial small subunit ribosomal RNA
Source: RNAcentral
UACGUAGGGGGCAAGCGUUAUCCGGAUUUACUGGGUGUAAAGGGAGCGUAGACGGUUAUGUAAGUCUGAAGUGAAAGCCCGGGGCCCAACCCCGGGACUGCUUUGGAAACUGUGUAACUAGAGUACAGGAGGGGCAGGCGGAAUUCCUGGUGUAGCGGUGAAAUGCGUAGAUAUCAGGAGGAACACCGGCGGCGAAGGCGGCCUGCUGGACUGAAACUGACGUUGAGGCUCGAAGGCGUGGGGAGCAAACAGG